This 406-nucleotide ribosomal RNA is filed under the name uncultured bacterium. RNAcentral describes it as "partial 16S ribosomal RNA". It matches the Rfam family "Bacterial small subunit ribosomal RNA", at positions 30 to 526 of the family's 1533-position model. The record is from RNAcentral.
AUUGAACGCUGGCGGCAGGCCUAACACAUGCAAGUCGAACGAGUGGCGGACGGGUGAGCAAUGUCGGGGAAAGUGCCUGAUGGAGGGGGAUAACUACUGGAAACGGUAGCUAAUACUGCAUACCAUAGGAUGUGCCCUGCGGGGAUUAGCUAGUAGGUGGGGUAAAGGCUCACCUAGGCGACGAUCCCUAGCUGGUCUGAGAGGAUGACCAGUCACACUGGAACUGAGACACGGUCCAGACUCCUACGGGAGGCAGCAGUGGGGAAUAUUGCACAAUGGGCGCAAGCCUGAUGCAGCCAUGCCGCGUGUGUGAAGAAGGCCUUCGGGUUGUAAAGUUCUUUCAGCGGGGAGGCGUUACCCGCAGAAGAAGCCCCGGCUAACUCCGUGCCAGCAGCCGCGGUAAUAC